AUACGUAGGUGGCAAGCGUUGUCCGGAUUUAUUGGGCGUAAAGCGAGUGCAGGUCGGUCUUUUAAGUCUGAUGUGAAAGCCUUCGGCUUAACCGAAGAAGGGCAUCGGAAACUGGGAGACUUGAGUGCAGAAGAGGAGAGUGGAACUCCAUGUGUAGCGGUGAAAUGCGUAGAUAUAUGGAAGAACACCAGUGGCGAAGGCGGCUGUCUGGUCCGUAACUGACGCUGAGGCUCGAAAGUAUGGGUAGC
RNAcentral lists this ribosomal RNA (248 nucleotides) under uncultured bacterium. RNAcentral's name for it is "partial 16S ribosomal RNA". It matches the Rfam family "Bacterial small subunit ribosomal RNA", at positions 523 to 769 of the family's 1533-position model. The record is from RNAcentral.